This 331-nucleotide unclassified non-coding RNA is filed under the name Hevea brasiliensis (rubber tree). The record is from RNAcentral. Lineage: Eukaryota; Viridiplantae; Streptophyta; Magnoliopsida; Malpighiales; Euphorbiaceae.
GACUAUUUGACCCUUGAAAGCUUAAAGGCUAUAAAACAAUUGGCCAUCGAUUUUUUCAUUGAUCAUUCAAGAUGGUGGCUUUUUUUGUCUUUUAGGGCCUUUUAGCUUUCCGUAGAAGUAUGUAUUUUGAAAAACAGCCCUCGGUGGCGUUUUAUGCGUGAUUAUUCGACUGUCCUUCCAGGCGGAGUGUGAAGGAGGAUGAGAUGGGCGGCAGCGCUGCUUGACUUCGUCUCGCUCUUCCAAUAGCUUUAGGGUUUGUUUUUGUGGGCCUUGGGCUAGACUUAUAUUGUAGAGUUUUUUUCAGGCCUCUUUUUUUCUACUCUGUGUUUUU